Non-coding RNA from Mycena leptocephala, 93 nucleotides. Lineage: Eukaryota; Fungi; Basidiomycota; Agaricomycetes; Agaricales; Mycenaceae. The record is from the annotation of a GenBank genome assembly.
GUCCCUGUUGAUCAACGCAGAUCACUUCAUUCCUAUACAGCAUCUGCAAGUUGGUUUAAUGGAGACACGGGCGUUCGAUUCGCCCCGGGGACA